UACGUAGGAGGCGAGCGUUGUCCGGAUUUACUGGGCGUAAAGAACGCGUAGGCGGUUCGUUAAGUUUGGCGUAAAAUCUCCUGGCUCAACUGGGAGGGCGCACCGAAGACUGGCGGACUGGAGGGCAUCAGAGGAAAGCGGAACUCCCGGUGUAGUGGUGAAAUGCGUAGAGAUCGGGAAGAACACCUGUGGCGAAGGCGGCUGUCUGGGGUGUACCUGACGCUGAGGCGUGAAAGCGUGGGGAGCGAACCGG
RNAcentral lists this unclassified non-coding RNA (253 nucleotides) under uncultured Chloroflexota bacterium. RNAcentral describes it as "uncultured Chloroflexi bacterium contains 16S-23S intergenic spacer region". It matches the Rfam family "Bacterial small subunit ribosomal RNA", at positions 524 to 776 of the family's 1533-position model. Lineage: Bacteria; Bacillati; Chloroflexota. The record is from RNAcentral.